Molecule: long non-coding RNA, 3253 nt
Organism: Oncorhynchus tshawytscha (Chinook salmon)
Lineage: Eukaryota; Metazoa; Chordata; Actinopteri; Salmoniformes; Salmonidae
Exons: 3
Source: RefSeq, a predicted model, not a curated record
CACACACACACACACACACACACACACACACACACACACACACACACACACACAAAAUCAAGAUUUUGUUUUUUUACAGCCUGAAUUCAAAAUAUCUUUCCCCAGGCAAAUGAUACCCUUCCCAGUACACACACACAUCUUUCCCCAGGCAAAUGAUACCCUUCCUAGUACACACACACAUCUUUCCCCAGGUAAAUGAUACCCUUCUCAGUACACACGCACACACAUUUCUCUUUCCCCAGGUAAAUGAUACCCUUCUCAGUACACACACUCACACAUUUCUCUUUCCCCAGGUAAGUGAUACUCUUUUCAGUCUACACACACACGUACGUUAGCAGUGUUGGUUUUAUGUAUUAUAUUGUAAUCAGAUGUCUGCCUAAUGCAAACCAAAUGGUGGUGAGCAGCUCAAAAGGUUAAACGAUACAUCAAUAUAUCAGUUUUAUUGAUCUUCCACGGGCAAAAUCCGACAUCACGCUUUAAUCCUCGCCGUUGUAGGGCAUAAAUCAGAGUUUCUGACGUUUAGGGUGUUUGACAGUUAACUUAAUGAAAUCUAUACAUGGAGAGAUCAUGACCUGUUGGUCUGGUGUGGCCACAGUGUCAGCAUGGUGGAACGUAGUUGGAAAGUCGUCAGGGUGCCUGCCUGGGCCUUUAAAAGCCGUUAAAAUACUUCACUGAAAUUAACUUAAAGGGGUUGUCCAUCAUACCAGGAGCCGUUUUACUUUACAGGGGAGGUCAGUGGAGGUACAGAACGUUCUGCCUUUACCGUGUUUAGGGUUACUACCCACCAAGCUGAAGGCAGUUAGUGUAUCGGAGGAGUCUGCACUAAUGAUAGAUUUACACACUUGUGUUUUUACUCCAGAAAGAUUUUACUCCAGCAGACACAUCAACAACUAGGUAUAUUAAUGGUUCAGAGAGUGUGUUUUUACUCCAGCAGACACAUGCAACAACUAGGUAUAUUAAUGGUUCAGAGAGUGUGUUUUUACUCCAGCAGACACAUGCAACAACUAGGUAUAUUAAUGGUUCAGAGAGUGUGUUUUUACUCCAGCAGACACAUGCAGGUAUAUUAAUGUUUCAGAGAGUGUGUUUUUACUCCAGCAGACACAUGCAGGUAUAUUAAUGGUUCAGAGAGUGUGUUUUUACUCCAGCAGACACAUGCAGGUAUAUUAAUGUUUCAGAGAGUGUGUUUUUACUCCAGAAGACACAUGCAACAACUAGGUAUAUUAAUGUUUCAGAGAGUGUGUUUUUACUCCAGAAGACACAUGCAGGUAUAUUAAUGGUUCAGAGAGUGUGUUUUUACUCCAGCAGACACAUGCAGGUAUAUUAAUGGUUCAGAGAGUGUGUUUUUACUCCAGCAGACACAUGCAGGUAUAUUAAUGUUUCAGAGAGUGUGUUUUUACUCCAGCAGACACAUGCAGGUAUAUUAAUGUUUCAGAGAGUGUGUUUUUACUCCAGUAGACACAUGCAACAACUAGGUAUAUUAAUGGUUCAGAGUGUGUUUUUGCUCCUUCAGACAAAUGAAGGUAUAUUAAUGGUUCAGAGAGUGUGUUUUUACUCCAGCAGACACAUGCAGGUAUAUUAAUGUUUCAGAGAGUGUGUUUUUACUCCAGCAGACACAUCAACAACUAGGUAUAUUAAUGGUUCAGAGAGUGUGUUUUUACUCCAGCAGAGACAUGCAACAACUAGGUAUAUUAAUGGUUCAGAGAGUGUGUUUUUACUCCAGCAGACACAUGCAACAACUAGGUAUAUUAAUGGUUCAGAGAGUGUGUUUUUACUCCAGCAGACACAUGCAGGUAUAUUAAUGGUUCAGAGAGUGUGUUUUUACUCCAGCAGACACAUGCAGGUAUAUUAAUGGUUCAGAGAGUGUGUUUUUACUCCAGCAGACACAUGCAGGUAUAUUAAUGUUUCAGAGAGUGUGUUUUUACUCCAGCAGACACAUGCAGGUAUAUUAAUGGUUCAGAGACUGUGUUUUUACUCCAGCAGACACAUGCAGGUAUAUUAAUGUUUCAGAGAGUGUGUUUUUACUCCAGCAGACACAUGCAGGUAUAUUAAUGUUUCAGAGAGUGUGUUUUUACUCCAGCAGACACAUGCAGGUAUAUUAAUGUUUCAGAGAGUGUGUUUUUACUCCAGCAGACACAUGCAGGUAUAUUCAUGUUUCAGAGAGUGUGUUUUUACUCCAGCAGACACAUGCAGGUAUAUUAAUGGUUCAGAGAGUGUGUUUUUACUCCAGCAGACACAUGCAGGUAUAUUAUUGGUUCAGAGAGUGUGUUUUUACUCCAGCAGACACAUGCAGGUAUAUUAAUGGUUCAGAGAGUGUGUUUUUUUGCUCAGCACAUUUGUUUGCAAGUAGAUGUUUUAUAUGAUGGAAUAUUGAGACUUUUAUGUUAAUGACAGUUUUAUACAUGUUAUUUUAGAAUGUUUACUAUUGGUGUUGUUGGUAGCACUUAAUAUGCUGUAAUACUACUGUAAAUUGUUUUGCUUGUAUGUCAAGUGAGUCAGUCAUUUAUGUAUAUUGAGUUAAACUUAACCAAAGUCUAAUUCAAUUGCGGCGUGAAGUUGUUGUUAAAUGUGUGUUGUUAAAUGUGCAGUCAAAAUACUCAAAUUUAUACCAACGCUCGUUGGUUUGCACAAUGGCUAUAUAGUGGGAAAAGGGCUAGUGAACAUAGUCAGCUAUCUCCUAGGUAUGUUCUCUAUAACAUCAAUGGUGAACAUAGUCAGCUAUCUCCUAGGUAUGUUCUCUACAACAUCAAUGGUGAACAUAGUCAGCUAUCUCCUAGGUAUGUUCUCUCCAACAUCACUCCUCAGAACGUGCUGUUCCAAUCCUCAAGGCUCAGCAAAGUAACAGCAUAUUCUAUAGGUGGCUCCCAUGUAAAACAAUUUGGUAUUUAACAACCAUGUCCAUUCUAGCUUUUCCAUUUCUAUGACUUCCUUCUUGAAGCGCUGUCUGUCGGUCUGUCUCCUGCUGUAGUUGAACUUGACCCCGUCCUCUCCUCUGUUUGAGAAGACCCAGGGCACCGUGCGAGACGUGGCGUUGAGACGCCCUCUGUCUGAUAGUGACCUCCUAAUGAACUGCAGUGUGGGACUGACUGUGGUACAGUGCUUUAGCAGCUUUACUAUGACCUCUGACCUCUCACCCCACAUCAAAGGGAGCAGGGGUCAGGUGGGACCCCCUGUUAAACACCAAUAUUAUCAGUGCAGCAACCUGGCUCCUGUAAAGCACCACAAAGUGGCAGGCAGACUUUACCAUCCCUCAGAG